ACUGCGGACAGUGCGGACGCGAAAACGGCCGAUCUGGCCUUCUAUCCUAUGCAAAAAGAGUAUACUCUUAUUCUAUAUACUCUUAUAUAUAUUCUAUAUUCUCUGACUAUACCCUAUUAUUUCUGCUGAUUGUUUCUGGCCAAGAUUGAAACCGCGAUCAUGUAAACAGUUGGCAAUGUGAACGUGUUUGAUGCAUACCCAAAACGAAGCAGACGAGUGACCGUUCUCCGAGUUCGCUCGCACGACUCCUUAUGAAGAUGUGUACAGUGAAGUACAUCUCUAAUCAACUACCCCAUCGGUGCCGUGGUAUUUAGUUAAUUUACAAGAGUAGUGUGCUGUGUGUCCACGAGUAUCUCUAAUAAGAGAGUCUCAUGUAAUAUCGCUCUCUUAAAACUAAGUGUGUAACUUCCUUCUUUAUAGAUAUUAAGAUCCUUAUCGUUUUCUCUGUAAAUAUAAAUAAUUCAAGGCAAAAGUGGAAGGGCUCAACUAUUUUAAGAGGGUGUAGCAGUUGUAGUUUUGUCUUUGAGGCAAAAUGUCGCAGCAGCGAGAUACUAUCAUACACCUUGUUGCCGGAGGCUGCUCUUAUGUCCCUUUUUUGAGUAUGUACUGAAGCAGCAUAUUUUCUUGUUGGUCAUAUUUUCGAUUGGGACAUUCAGGGUAUCAUCAGGUGAUGACAGAAGCAAUGGCAAGGGAGCAGGCUACUCUAUUAUUAAGGCAAAUGACACUUAAAAGGCAGAGAAAAGGAAGCAAUAUUAUUAUACUAUGUAAUCUCCACAUAAACAGAAGUAAAAAGUUCUCCUGCAUCCUGUAUAUUUAAAUUGGAUAUUAGGAUACCGAAAUAUCUAACGACAAGCAAAACACACGUGUACACACAGCUGAAUCAUAGAAUAAUAAGUCAAUCUUUAUGAAGCUAAUAGUUUUUUCCAAGUUAUUCGCUAACAGAAGC
RNAcentral lists this long non-coding RNA (946 nucleotides) under Copidosoma floridanum. RNAcentral describes it as "uncharacterized LOC106643541, transcript variant X3". The record is from RNAcentral. Lineage: Eukaryota; Metazoa; Arthropoda; Insecta; Hymenoptera; Encyrtidae.